This is a non-coding RNA of Pimephales promelas (fathead minnow), 1045 nucleotides long. The record is from RefSeq and is a predicted model, not a curated record. NCBI's taxonomy places the organism in Eukaryota, Metazoa, Chordata, Actinopteri, Cypriniformes, Leuciscidae.
UCCACGUUGAUUCAAUGUCAGUUUGCUAUCUGGAUUGUUAUUUCGAGAACAAGCUAGCAUUGGUUAGCAUGGCGUAGUCGGCAUGGCAUAGUCGCCUCUGAGCUUUAGUGCUUAGAUUGCUUGUUAUUUCGAGAACAAGCUAGCAUUGGUUAGCAUGGCGUAGUCGCCUCUGAGCUUUAGUGCUUAGAUUGUUUAUUUCGAGAACAAGCUAGCAUUGGUUAGCAUGGCGUAGCAAGCGUGGCGUCCCCAUAGUCUCCUUCCCUUUCUCUGGGAACCGGGUUAAAUGCGUAACGUAACGUAAGGCGUUUUGAUCUCACUUUAUUAACUACUAUACAUACAUCGACAAACUGUACAAUGUACUUACUGUGUUCAUGUCGUAUUGUAAAACAUCUUUGCUGCUAUUGAGAUGUGAUACGGGUAAGGUUAGGGACAGGUGUGCCUGUAUAGGUUGGGUUAAGGGUGGGCUACGGUGUAAGGGAAGAUUCAGCAAGUAAUUACAUAAACUACAGCUGUUUUUUUAAAUGUAAGUACAAUGUAAAAACAUCCAUUGUACCAAAUUAUUAAUUUCAUUGUAAGUGGUUUGUACUUAAAGCCACGUGGGACAAAAAAAAUCUUUUUCAUGAAAAAAAGCAAUUAUGCAGCAAAAUGCUGUGUAAUUGUCUUUUUGCCUGUCAUGCUGAUGUGUCCUUGAAUGUUCAUUGACUCACAACACACACUGUGUCUUAUCCUGACAGAUGUAAUGAUUAACUGUAAACAUUAUCAGUAGGCAGAAGAUCGCAAUGUGAAAAAACACCUGUCUUACAGUAUUUUGAAGAAUUUAAGUUGUAUUUUAUACAUAUACACUGCCUAUAUAUUCUUCUUCAUACCCUAACCCUUGGUUGGUAUGUAUCAGCUUUUGAAUAGACAGCAUUUAGUGUGAUGUUUUCGUUGCACAACAAUAACCUAAUCUAAUCUAUAAAGCAAGAAUGUGCAGAUAAUUAUUAAUUUAUUUGUGUGUGUUGCAUUUUUUUUGCGGGAUUAAAAACAUCCUAAAUAAAUUACAUUA